Molecule: ribosomal RNA, 505 nt
Filed under: uncultured bacterium
Lineage: Bacteria
Description: partial 16S ribosomal RNA
Rfam family: Bacterial small subunit ribosomal RNA
Source: RNAcentral
GACGAACGCUGGCGGCGUGCCUAAUACAUGCAAGUAGAACGCACAGUUUAUACCGUAGCUUGCUACACCAUAAACUGUGAGUUGCGAACGGGUGAGUAACGCGUAGGUAACCUGCCUGGUAGCGGGGGAUAACUAUUGGAAACGAUAGCUAAUACCGCAUAAUAUUAAUUAUUGCAUGAUAAUUGAUUGAAAGAUGCAAUUGCAUCACUACCAGAUGGACCUGCGUUGUAUUAGCUAGUAGGUGAGGUAACGGCUCACCUAGGCGACGAUACAUAGCCGACCUGGGAGGGUGAUCGGCCACACUGGGACUGGGACACGGCCCAGACUCCUACGGGAGGCAGCAGUAGGGAAUCUUCGGCAAUGGACGAAAGUCUGACCGAGCAACGCCGCGUGAGUGAAGAAGGGUUUCGGAUCGUAAAGCUCUGUUGUAAGAGAAGAACGGGUGUGAGAGUGGAAAGUUCACACUGUGACGGUAUCUUACCAGAAAGGGACGGCUAACUACGUG